RNAcentral lists this long non-coding RNA (1913 nucleotides) under Oryzias javanicus (javanese ricefish). RNAcentral describes it as "lncRNA (ENSOJAG00000003397.1)". Lineage: Eukaryota; Metazoa; Chordata; Actinopteri; Beloniformes; Adrianichthyidae. The record is from RNAcentral.
UUAGCUUUUUUAAGUUUUUUUAGGCAAUUUUUGAGUUUAGCUUAUAUUUCAGCUAUAUGCUAGCUGUUUAGGCUAAUUUAGGAUUUUUCCGUUUUUUUAAGGCUAAUGUGGAAUUUAGCUAAUAUUUCAGCAGCAUGCUAGCUAUUUAGGCUAACUUUAGCUCUUUUUAUUUUUUGGUAAAUUUGGCAUUUAACUAAUAUUUUAGCUGGUUAUCAACUUCAGCAUCUUUACAUCCACUUUGGCCAUGAACCGAUUAGUCGACUAAUCGGAAAAAAUAAUCGGUGAUUAGUCGACUAUUAAAAUAAUCGUUUGUGGCAGCCCUACCCUGAGGAGAAAUGUUGGACUUUAACUGUAGACUAAAGGAUUUGGAUUCUGAUGGAGGAGAGGUCUGGGAAUGAUCCGGGUGGCGUCACAGAUAGAACUGGUUGUCAUCAGCGUAGCAGUAGAAUUGUUCUUUAAAUAUUCUGAAGGAAGUAGAUGGUAAAGAAGAGCGGACCUAGGACGGAGCCUUGAGGCACACCUGAGGUGAUGGGGAGGGCUGGGAGGAGGAGGGGUCAGGUGUCGAUCAAUUUUCAUGAUUGAUUGAUUUAUUUCAAGCAUAGAUUGUAAAAAAAACCAGAUGAAAGGACAUCAUUUAUUCCCACCUGAAGUAGUCCCGCCUCCUCGGGUCGGGACUACCCAAAACCUCGUUGGGGUCAUGUGACUCAGCCCAUCAUUCAAGCAGGAAAAAGCUCAGAACUCUUACCAAAGUCAUCGAUGGCGUUGACGUCAGCGUGGCAGUUGAUGAGCUCCUCCACCAUCCCCUCCGCCGCCAACCUGGCCGCUAAGAUGAGCGGCGUGGUGCCGUCAUGCAUGCGAGCGUCCAGAUCGGUGGCGCGGUUUCUUAUUAGAAUCUGCAGGCGCAGACAGGAUUAUGUUUUGGAACACUGAAAGGAGAGGAACCGACAGAACCGGAGGCCCACCUGGAACACUCCCUGCGCGUCGGCGGCCACCGCGGCGUGCAGCGGCGUCCGUCCCAUGUUGUCCUGGAUGUUGGCGUCGGCGCUGGCCUCCAGCAGGCGCUUGGCCGCAUCGGAGCGGGCGUAGCGGGCGGCCAGGUGCUGCUGGGUCCACUGGCGGUGGUCCGUCUGGUCGUCCGCGUCCAGCGCCGCCUGCUCCUCGAACUGCUGAGACACCGACCGGCCGGCCGGCCGUCAAACUCUUUCCUCGAAUAAUCAUUUUUAGAAGAAUAAAGAAAGUUUUCUUUUGGACCUUGAAAUGCCCUUUCUGUCCCAGAGCGAAACCCGGGGUCGGCGGACCCCCCGCACAUCCAGCGGAGAUGUCGGAGUUCUUCAGCGGCCUUUCGUGAAGCAGAAACUCCGUAAAAAUGCCGCCAGAGCCCAAAACCCCCUCCCCCCGCCCGUGGUUUCAUUAAUUCAUGAUAUCAUUACAGUUAAUGACGGGGGCAGACCCCCCCCCUGACCAAAUGUGACCGAGCGAACUUACUUCAGCCCCACCGAAUCCUCUCCGACCGGCUCCCGCCUUUUCUUCUUGCUGCUCUCCGUGGUCUUGAAGCCCUCGGGAAGCCAGAGGCGCCCGUGCUCGGGGCGCCGCUUGCGGGCGGCCACCAUCCCCACCCCCAGCAAGGCCAGAAUCCCCACGCCGCCCAGGACUAGGUAGAUGGGGUAGAGUCCCUGAGCGCUCUUGGGCUCCACGUUGCCUGGCGGGAAGACGGACAGCAUGCUCAGGACGGGCCGAGUCCGGGCCGAGCCGGGCUCCGGCGGUUCCCGCUCAAAACCGCAGAGCAGGACGGCGUCGGCCGUCCCCACCGCCAGCGUCUAUAAUAAUCCGAAUUGCUAAGAACUUUUCAUCAGAAAGGGGGACGGGGCGUGAUACAAGUCAGAAAAAGCAGAACCACCUCCUCCUCUCUCUCU